This 460-nucleotide ribosomal RNA is filed under the name uncultured bacterium. RNAcentral's name for it is "partial 16S ribosomal RNA". It matches the Rfam family "Bacterial small subunit ribosomal RNA", at positions 338 to 795 of the family's 1533-position model. The record is from RNAcentral.
CCUACGGGUGGCAGCAGUGAGGAAUAUUGGUCAAUGGACGAGAGCCUGAACCAGCCAAGCCGCGUGAAGGAUGACUGCCCUCUGGGUUGUAAACUUCUUUUAUAUGGGAAUAAAAUGUUCCACGUGUGGGAUUUUGUAUGUACCAUAUGAAUAAGGAUCGGCUAACUCCGUGCCAGCAGCCGCGGUAAUACGGAGGAUGCGAGCGGUAGCCGGAUUUAUUGGGUUUAAAGGGAGCGUAGGUGGAUUGUUAAGUCAGUUGUGAAAGUUUGGGGCUCAACCGUAAAAUUGCAGUUGAAACUGGCAGUCUUGAGUACAGUAGGGGUGGGCGGAAUUCGUGGUGUAGCGGUGAAAUGCGUAGAUAUCACGAAGAAUUCCGAUUGCGAAGGCAGCUCACUGGACUGCAACUGACGCUGAGGCUCGAAAGUGUGGGUAUCAAACAGGAUUAGAUACCCUUGUAGUC